Molecule: ribosomal RNA, 507 nt
Filed under: uncultured bacterium
Lineage: Bacteria
Description: bacterial SSU rRNA
Rfam family: Bacterial small subunit ribosomal RNA
Source: RNAcentral
GAUGAACGCUGGCGGCGUGCUUAACACAUGCAAGUCGAGCGGAGCACAUCGUUGGAAUCCUUCGGGAGGAAGAGGAUGUGGCUUAGCGGCGGACGGGUGAGUAACGCGUGGACAACCUGCCCUAUGCAGGGGGAUAACAUCCGGAAACGGGUGCUAAUACCGCAUAAGCGCACAGUACCGCAUGGUACAGUGUGAAAAGCUGAGGCGGCAUAGGAUGGGUCCGCGUUGGAUUAGGCAGUUGGCGGGGUAACGGCCCACCAAACCGACGAUCCAUAGCCGGCCUGAGAGGGUGGACGGCCACAUUGGGACUGAGACACGGCCCAGACUCCUACGGGAGGCAGCAGUGGGGAAUAUUGCACAAUGGGGGGAACCCUGAUGCAGCGACGCCGCGUGGGUGAGGAAGUACUUCGGUAUGUAAAGCCCUAUCAGCAGGGAAGAAAAUGACGGUACCUGACUAAGAAGCCCCGGCUAACUACGUGCCAGCAGCCGCGGUAAUACGUAGGGGGC